UCAAUGGUGCAACACUAACCAAGAUCCAAUCAAGAGUGUGUAAAACGAAAUUUAAUUAGUUAAUAAUUAAAUUAAGGAUUGGUGAUGGGGUCCUUCUCUAGUGCUUCAAAAGCUCUGAUUGUGGGUGCGUUUGUGAUUAUUCUUGUGGCUUGGGAAGUUGGGGCAGCCGGAGAGUGCGGGAAGACGCCGAUAGAAUCGGCAGCGGCGGGGCUGACGCCGUGCCUGGGGGCAGUGAGGGACGCAAAAGCUAAGGUUACGAGGCGGCGUGCUGCGGCAAAGUGGCGGCGAUGUUUAUAGUACUCCGAAAUGCUUGUGCGCCAUUCUUCUAUCGCCUUUGGCUAAGCAGGCAGGAAUAAACCCCGGCAUUGCCAUUACAAUCCCUAAACGCUGUAACAUCCGAAACCGUCCCGUCGGCAAGAAGUGUGGAAAGUACACUCUCCCUUGAGAACUAAAGUCCAGCAGCCCACAGCCACAUGGAGAAAAGUUGUUAUGUUAUAAUUAUGCCACAUGAUAUUUGACCCCAAUAAAUUUUAUAUAUCCAAUGUGCUCUAAUGUCUAAUAUUUUAGUUGUUUUUACUUUUACAUAAUGUUAAUGUUUGUGGGACUUACAUUUGUUUCUAUGGGUGUAAUAAAAUAAUAGUCCUUAAUUUUCUUUUUA
Molecule: non-coding RNA, 658 nt
Organism: Benincasa hispida (wax gourd)
Lineage: Eukaryota; Viridiplantae; Streptophyta; Magnoliopsida; Cucurbitales; Cucurbitaceae
Source: RefSeq, a predicted model, not a curated record